UGGGGAAUUUUGGACAAUGGGCGCAAGCCUGAUCCAGCCAUGCCGCGUGCGGGAAGAAGGCCUUCGGGUUGUAAACCGCUUUUGUCAGGGAAGAAACGGUCUGGUCUAAUAAACCGGACUAAUGACGGUACCUGAAGAAUAAGCACCGGCUAACUACGUGCCAGCAGCCGCGGUAAUACGUAGGGUGCAAGCGUUAAUCGGAAUUACUGGGCGUAAAGCGUGCGCAGGCGGCUUUGCAAGACAGAUGUGAAAUCCCCGGGCUUAACCUGGGAACUGCAUUUGUGACUGCAAGGCUAGAGUACGGCAGAGGGGGAUGGAAUUCCGCGUGUAGCAGUGAAAUGCGUAGAUAUGCGGAGGAACACCGAUGGCGAAGGCAAUCCCCUGGGCCUGUACUGACGCUCAGGCACGAAAGCGUGGGGAGCAAACAG
RNAcentral lists this ribosomal RNA (428 nucleotides) under uncultured bacterium. RNAcentral's name for it is "bacterial SSU rRNA". It matches the Rfam family "Bacterial small subunit ribosomal RNA", at positions 355 to 775 of the family's 1533-position model. The record is from RNAcentral.